Molecule: non-coding RNA, 31 nt
Filed under: Macaca fascicularis (crab-eating macaque)
Lineage: Eukaryota; Metazoa; Chordata; Mammalia; Primates; Cercopithecidae
Also listed under: 1 other name
Source: RNAcentral
UUGACUACUGUAAUUAUGUAUCCAUAAUGCG